Molecule: RNA transcript, 3564 nt
Organism: Phyllopteryx taeniolatus (common seadragon)
Lineage: Eukaryota; Metazoa; Chordata; Actinopteri; Syngnathiformes; Syngnathidae
Gene: amigo1
Gene name: adhesion molecule with Ig-like domain 1
Exons: 7
Source: RefSeq, a predicted model, not a curated record
GUCCAGGCUGCUCAGCUGUCUCAAAAAUCCGUCAAGGAGAAUCAGAACGGAAAGAACAAAUUUGAGCCCGACAGAACGCAGUAAAUUCAAGGCACACUUCAACAUGAAGUCUUGCGGCUCGGACUUCCUCUGGCGCAAACGCGUCGCAAGCGAGCACCGCAGCCCCACGACAACAUUCUCGUGAAGGGGGAAGGGGCAUCUGCAUGCUACGACAGCAGGCGGAGGGGGCUUCAGAGCUGAAGCCCCACUAAGCAAUGCCCCAUACUUCUUCGGCAGCCGUUUUCUGGGAUUGAGACCACAGCUCAGCUCUCCGGCGUAGAAAUCAACCGGCAGCCAGCCAGCCAGCAUGUCACAGCCGUCCAGCAGAAAAUGGGCGCCUUGGAGCAACUGGUGGGAAUGGGCAAUGUCCGUGGCCGUGUGUGUGGGCCUCCUGUGGCCUCCAGGGAGCGCGUCAGUGGCGUCCUGCAUCUGCGCCUCCAACAUCCUGAGCUGCUCCAAGAUGAACCUGAGCAGCAUCCCGACCAGGCUCCCGCUCUACACGGCCGUUCUAGAUCUGAGCUACAAUGAAAUCAUGAGGCUGAGGUCAGACUGGACCUCUGUCAAGCUCCCCAAGCUCCGUAACCUGCUACUGAGCCACAACGGACUACUCUUCCUGUCUUCAGAGGCCUUUGUGAACGUGAAGCAUCUGCGCUACCUAGACCUGUCCUCCAACAGCCUGCAGCAACUGGACGAGUUUGUCUUUGAGCCUCUGGUCAACUUGGAGAUUCUCCUGUUGUACAACAACAAAAUCUCCCAGCUCGACCACUCGACCUUCAUCACCACGCUCAACCUCCAGAAGUUGUAUAUGAGCCACAACCAAAUCUCCCGAUUCCCCGUUGAGCUCAUCAGGGAGAAGUCUCGUCUGGAGAAGCUCAGCCUGCUGGACGUGUCGUCCAAUAAGAUUAAAAAACUUCCUCUGGACGAGAUGCGAGCGCUGCCUGCCUGGUUAAAGAAUGGCCUCUAUUUCCACAACAACCCGCUGCCAUGUCACUGUGACCUCUACACGCUGGUCGCCCACUGGGACCUCCGCAAACUCAACUCCGUCAUGGACUUCAGAGACAACUUCACUUGCAUCCUGCCGGGCCCCCAGAAGACUCGGGUGGACGUGUUUGACCUGAGCGGUGACAGCAUGAACUGUAGUACCUUCAAGGAGGCAGAAGAGGAAGCCUUUCUGGAGCAAACGCUGAUCCUGGGCUGCGACACCAAGCACAGAAACAUGCUAAAGACCUGGACUCUUCCCGGUCCUGCUGCGGUGAUUCCGGGAGGCAACCAGACAGCAAAAAUCAUGCCGGAUGGCAGCCUGCGAGUCAGUCCGGUCCGGUCUGAGGACUCUGGAACCUACACCUGCUUUGCCACUAGCGAGGCCUUCAACGAGACCAUCUAUGUUGUGCUGAAGGUUCACAACUUCACCAUGCAUGACGGUGGCGAGACCCUGAACACAGCCUACACCACCUUGGUGGGCUGCCUGGCCAGCGUGAUCCUGGUUCUGGUAUACCUCUACCUGACCCCGUGCCGCUGCUUCUGCUGCUCUGGCAAGGGUAAAGCUCGCGGUGACGACAGUAUCCGCUCAUCUGUGCUCAGCGUGACGCCCACCCAUGGGGGGGACCCCUCAGUGCUCAACAGACACGUGGUCUUCACAGACACCAAGGAGGUGCGAGGCCAGAACGGCAAGCUGAACCCCAACGGGGACCAGGACAAUGAGGAGGUGGACGCGGAAGCCUGCUCGCUGAUGAAAGGAACCAGGAAGAAGUCAGUCGCGGAAUCCAUCAGCUCGGUCUUCUCGGACACUCCCAUGAUGGUCUGAGAGGAGAAUGGAGAUGAGGUGGACGAGGAUGAGGGGUAUUCCUGGCAGAUGAUGAGGAGGAACCACACGCAGGACUGUUUUUUCCAGCAUUCUAAUGUGUAGCACUUGACAUACUGUGAAGGAACAAGGAGUGGACGUCUCAGGAUGUGAUUGAAGCAACUGGAGUCUUUUGGGUUGUUGAAAAAACAACCACAAGUUGAACGGAGGAAACUGGACUAAAGUUGAGUCACUACCAUUCAACUUUUGUCCAGUCGCCACCAUUCAACUUUUGUGGAUGACCAUGACCUGGAUGACUUAGGAUCUACACAGACACUCAGAGAUCUCAAAGAACACCGGCAGCAUGUUCGGCGAGUCUUGCAGAGACUUCUUGAGAACCGUCUGUACGCCAAAGCAGAGAAGUGUGAAUUUCAUGCCCGUUCCGUUCAAUUUCUGGGGUUCAUCGUGGAGGCGGGCCAGCUAAGACCCGAUCAGCCAAGAUACAGGCUGUGGUCGACUGGCCAUCUCCGACAUCAAGGAAGCACUUGCAAAGGUUCCUCGGAUUCGCCAAUUUCUAUAGGAGUUACAUCCGGAAUUACAGUUGUAAGGCGGAACCUUUGACAAGGCUUACAUCAGUAAAGAAACCUUUUAUUUGGACCCCUGAAGCUGAAUCGGCUUUUGUUGUUCUUAAGCUUCUGUUUACCUGUUCGCACUCAUCCUGAUCCAAAACUUCCAUUUAUCGUAGAGGGGGAUGCCUCGGAUUCUGGAGUAGGGGUCGUACUAUCCCAACGAUCUCCUGUCGACCAGAGAGCGCACCCCUGCGCCUUCUCGCGUCGCCUCAGUCCUGCUGAACAUAACUAUGAUGUUGGUAACAGGGAACUGCCCGCCAUUGUUCUGGCUCUACAGGAGUGGAGGCACUGGCUGGAGGGCGCAGUGGCACCGUUUGAGUCCCUGGGUGCAGGUCGGUGGGCGGAGUCUCUCGCGAUGCAACUGCUGGUGAUUUGUCAUCAGCAGUGUAUUUAAGCAUGGGAGACGCAGGAGGAAAACGCCGAGAAAUUGUACUUCGCUUGUUGCCAUUACCUUGCCAGCUUUGUUGCAUUCCCACGUUCAUUCCGUCCUGCCGGUAGCUCUUUUCGUCUGCUGUUUUCUCCAUGCCGCAUCAAGGCCACCGAGGCACCUUCAGUCUGAAGAACAUCGUUCAUACGUCCUCACCAUGACAACCGUGACAAAAACAAUGAAGACAAAGGUCCCAAUCUUGCUCUAAGAGGGAAAAGACAACGCAAUAAAUGUCAGGAGGACACACAGGCAAUUCCACUUGAUAACAGGCGACAUUUCACAAAACAAAACAUUCUGCCUUCGUAAUAACAUCCAUCCAUCUUCUAAAAUGCUUGUCCUCAUUUCGCCCCGGACUGGUCGUAAGUCUAUAUCAGGGCAUAUACUGACAAACAAUGCACAUGGCAUGGUUGAGAGACAAUGCUCCUUGAGAAUGCUGGAGAAAAAAACAGUUUGUGUUUUUGUUUUUUAUAGAGCAGGGCAGCUUUAAUCAACACUUCCAAACUCGUCACACUGAUUGGACUCUAGGAUGGCUGACUACUGACGCCGAUUCGCUCAUGGAAGUCUUUAGCCUUUGGGUUGACAUACUUUUUCCACCCUGCACUUUGAAUGUUUACAUGGUGUGUCCAAUAAAAAACAUGACAACAGAAAACUGUUUGCAUGGUAUUAGUUUAAGCAGAAUGUAUUUGUCU